RNAcentral lists this unclassified non-coding RNA (459 nucleotides) under plant metagenome. Its description in RNAcentral is "partial contains small subunit ribosomal RNA and internal transcribed spacer 1". The record is from RNAcentral.
AAGUCGUAACAAGGUUUCCGUAGGUAGCAUGUUUGCCUGCCGGAAGCCCCCGCAGCGACUCUAAAGAAUUGCGUUAGUCGCCCCUCGAUUCGGGGCAGGCAACGCCAUCACUCUGCGCUGGAAGUCCCCCAUUCGGGGCCAACCAGCAGCUCCGGAGACCCCUGCGGAGUUCACAGAUCAAACGAUAGCGGCCACCUCGGUGGUUGAGAUAUGGUCGGCCUUUAGCUGUCCCCGGCUGGAGAACUCGCAGAACCUGCGGAAGGAUCAUUACCGAGAGAGGGGCUUCGCGCUCCCGGGGGCUCCGGCCCCCAACUCUUCACCCACUGUUUACCUACCUUUGUUGCUUUGACGGGCCACGGGGCCUUCCUGCGCUGGCUUUCGGGCCGGCGAGUGCCCGUCAGAGGCCCAUUAAAUUCCGUUUAAUAAGUGACGUCCGAGUAAAAAUUACAAUAGUAAAAA